UCAGAGGCGCGGGUUUUAUGAGUACGCUGUCGGAGGUUUUCCGGACCGCUGAGGGCAGCCGAAAGGAAAAACCGCCGAAGGGGAACCCGCAGGGAAGCGGCUCCGCCUGGCCCUGCGUUUAAGAGACGCCGGGUUGUCAUCAUGCGUGAUGGAGAACUG
RNAcentral lists this non-coding RNA (159 nucleotides) under chicken gut metagenome. RNAcentral describes it as "Lysine riboswitch". It matches the Rfam family "Lysine riboswitch aptamer". Rfam says of the family: Riboswitches are metabolite binding domains within certain messenger RNAs that serve as precision sensors for their corresponding targets. Allosteric rearrangement of mRNA structure is mediated by ligand binding, and this results in modulation of gene expression. The record is from RNAcentral.